Molecule: long non-coding RNA, 517 nt
Filed under: Oryza sativa Indica Group (long-grained rice)
Lineage: Eukaryota; Viridiplantae; Streptophyta; Magnoliopsida; Poales; Poaceae
Description: lncRNA OsMH63_12G007190
Source: RNAcentral
AGUGAAAAACCCUCUCACGUCGCUCUCCCUAGAGGCGGCUCCGGAGACGACGACCCCGCCGCCCCUCUCCCCCACCCCCACCCCCUUCUCCGCCUCGCCGUCGCCCGAGCGGCCGCCGGCGAAGCCACGCAGCCGCAAGGACGGCGGCGGCGGGGCGGUCCUCGUCUCCUCGCGCUCGGGUGGCCUGGGGAGCCGCCCGGAGUGGCGACGGCGGUGUCUGCCAGAUCCGCGCCGUUCCGGCCGGAUCUGGCGGGAUGGGCUGGCGGUGGGGAAGGCGUCGGCGGCGGGGACGGGCGACGGUGGCGGUCGAGGCGAGUUGCACCGGGCGUCAGCCGGCGUUGGUGGAGAGGAAGACGGCCAGAUCUGGCUCCUUGCCCAGAUCCGGCGCGUCCUCAGGUGGGAACGGGGUGGUUGGAGUCCGGUCGUCGUGCAGGUGGUGUGAAUAUCGCAGGUAUCCUCGGUGUGCAGGUGACAUUUGGUGGCUCCUGUCGUGGAUGCUAUGGUUGAUGGGUGCUCC